Molecule: microRNA, 21 nt
Filed under: Ciona intestinalis (vase tunicate)
Lineage: Eukaryota; Metazoa; Chordata; Ascidiacea; Phlebobranchia; Cionidae
Description: cin-miR-5610-5p
Source: miRBase by way of RNAcentral
AAUAAUUAGCAUCAUCAGUCU